GACGAACGCUGGCGGCGUGCUUAACACAUGCAAGUCGAACGGAAAGGCCUGCUUUCCCUUGUGGAUUGCGGGUACUCGAGUGGCGAACGGGUGAGUAACACGUGAGUGAUCUGCCCCCAACUUGGGUAUAAGCCUGGGAAACUGUGUCUAAUUCCCGAUAGGACUGCAGGGUGGUGCCUGUGGUGGAAAACGAUUUUCUAGUGGUUGGGGAUGAGCUCGCGGCCUAUCAGCUUGUUGGUGGGGUAAUGGCCUACCAAGGCGGCGACGGGUAGCCGGCCUGGGAGGGUGGACGGCCACAUUGGGACUGAGAUACGACCCAGACGCCUACGGGAGGCAGCAGUGGGGAAGAUUGCAAAAUGGGCGGAAGCCUGAUGCAGCGACGCCGCGUGGGGGAGGACGGCCUUCGGGUUGUAAACUCCUUUCGAACGAGAGGAAGCCACCUGGUUGGAAGGGUGGUGACGGUAGUGGUAGAAGAAGCACCGGCUAACUACGUGC
This 495-nucleotide ribosomal RNA is filed under the name uncultured bacterium. RNAcentral describes it as "partial 16S ribosomal RNA". It matches the Rfam family "Bacterial small subunit ribosomal RNA", at positions 28 to 508 of the family's 1533-position model. The record is from RNAcentral.